Molecule: ribosomal RNA, 253 nt
Filed under: uncultured bacterium
Lineage: Bacteria
Description: partial 16S ribosomal RNA
Rfam family: Bacterial small subunit ribosomal RNA
Source: RNAcentral
UACGUAGGGGGCGAGCGUUGUCCGGAUUCAUUGGGCGUAAAGCGCGCGCAGGCGGCUUCGUAAGUCGGCCGUGAAAUCUCCAGGCUCAACUUGGAGGGGUCGGGCGAGACUGCGGAGCUGGAGGCAGGUAGAGGGCGGUGGAAUUCCGGGUGUAGUGGUGGAAUGCGUAGAGAUCCGGAGGAACACCAGUGGCGAAGGCGGCCGCCUGGGCCUGACCUGACGCUGAGGCGCGAAAGCGUGGGGAGCGAUCUGG